UCGACGGCAGCACGGGAGCAAUCCUGGUGGCGAGUGGCGAACGGGUGAGUAAUGUAUCGGAACGUACCUUUCAGUGGGGGAUAACGUAGCGAAAGUUACGCUAAUACCGCAUAUUCUGUGAGCAGGAAAGCAGGGGAUCGCAAGACCUUGCGCUGAUUGAGCGGCCGAUAUCAGAUUAGCUAGUUGGUGAGGUAAAGGCUCACCAAGGCGACGAUCUGUAGCGGGUCUGAGAGGAUGAUCCGCCACACUGGAACUGAGACACGGUCCAGACUCCUACGGGAGGCAGCAGUGGGGAAUUUUGGACAAUGGGGGCAACCCUGAUCCAGCCAUGCCGCGUGAGUGAAGAAGGCCUUCGGGUUGUAAAGCUCUUUCAGCCGGGAAGAAAUCACAUGGGUUAAUACCCUGUGUGGAUGACGGUACCGGAAUAAGAAGCACCGGCUAACUACGUGCCAGCAGCCGCGGUAAUACGUAGGGUGCGAGCGUUAAUCGGAAUUACUGGGCGUAAAGCGUGCGCAGGCGGUUUGUUAAGAUAGGCGUGAAAUCCCCGGGCUCAACCUGGGAACUGCGUUUAUGACUGGCAGGCUAGAGUAUGGCAGAGGGGGGUGGAAUUCCACGUGUAGCAGUGAAAUGCGUAGAGAUGUGGAGGAACACCGAUGGCGAAGGCAGCCCCCUGGGCCAAUACUGACGCUCAUGCACGAAAGCGUGGGUAGCAA
RNAcentral lists this ribosomal RNA (713 nucleotides) under uncultured bacterium. Its description in RNAcentral is "bacterial SSU rRNA". It matches the Rfam family "Bacterial small subunit ribosomal RNA", at positions 62 to 771 of the family's 1533-position model. The record is from RNAcentral.